RNAcentral lists this ribosomal RNA (886 nucleotides) under uncultured bacterium. RNAcentral describes it as "bacterial SSU rRNA". It matches the Rfam family "Bacterial small subunit ribosomal RNA", at positions 28 to 897 of the family's 1533-position model. The record is from RNAcentral.
GACGAACGCUGGCGGCGUGCUUAACACAUGCAAGUCGAACGGGGAUUCAGCAAUGGAUCUUAGUGGCGAACGGGUGAGUAACGCGUAGGCAAUCUGCCUUCUAGAUGGGGACAACAUCCCGAAAGGGGUGCUAAUACCGAAUGUUGUAGCGACUUCGCAUGAAGUUGUUACUAAAGGUGGCCUCUGAACAUGCUACCGCUAGAAGAUGAGCCUGCGUCUGAUUAGCUAGUUGGAGGGGUAACGGCCCACCAAGGCUUCGAUCAGUAGCCGGUCUGAGAGGAUGAACGGCCACACUGGGACUGAGACACGGCCCAGACUCCUACGGGAGGCAGCAGUGGGGAAUCUUCCGCAAUGGACGAAAGUCUGACGGAGCAACGCCGCGUGAGUGAAGAAGGUUUUCGGAUCGUAAAGCUCUUUCGUCAGGGACGAACGUAUUUCUUGUAAAUAAUGAGAGAUAGUGACGGUACCUGAAUAAGAAGCCACGGCUAACUACGUGCCAGCAGCCGCGGUAAUACGUAGGUGGCAAGCGUUGUCCGGAAUUAUUGGGCGUAAAGCGCGCGCAGGCGGGAUAUCAAGUCUGUCUUAAAAGUGCGAGGCUCAACCUCGUGAGGGGACAGAAACUGGUAUUCUUGAGUGUCGGAGAGGAAAGUGGAAUUCCAAGUGUAGCGGUGAAAUGCGUAGAGAUUUGGAAGAACACCAGUGGCGAAGGCGACUUUCUGGACGAUGUCUGACGCUGAGGCGCGAAAGCUAGGGGAGCGAACGGGAUUAGAUACCCCGGUAGUCCUAGCCGUAAACGAUGGGUACUAGGUGUAGGGGGUAUCGACCCCUCCUGUGCCGGAGUUAACGCAAUAAGUACCCCGCCUGGGGAGUACGGCCGCAAGGUUGA